CCCUUAGAUGUCCUGGGCCGCACGCGCGCUACACUGAUGCAUGCAACGAGUUUAUAACCUUGGCCUGAAAGGUCUGGGUAAUCUUUUGAACGUGCAUCGUGAUAGGGAUAGAUUAUUGCAAUUGUUAAUCUUGAACGAGGAAUUCCUAGUAAACGCGAGUCAUCAGCUCGCAUUGAUUACGUCCCUACCCUUUGUACACACCGCCCGUCGCACCUACCGAUUGAAUGGUUCGGUGAAGAUCUCGGACUUCGAUAUUUAUUCUUUAUUGAGUUUAUAUUGUGGGAAGUUAUCUAAACCUCAUCAUUUAGAGGAAGGUGAAGUCGUAACA
Molecule: ribosomal RNA, 328 nt
Filed under: uncultured eukaryote
Lineage: Eukaryota
Description: partial 18S ribosomal RNA
Rfam family: Eukaryotic small subunit ribosomal RNA
Source: RNAcentral